Molecule: ribosomal RNA, 253 nt
Filed under: uncultured bacterium
Lineage: Bacteria
Description: partial 16S ribosomal RNA
Rfam family: Bacterial small subunit ribosomal RNA
Source: RNAcentral
UACGUAGGGUGCAAGCGUUGUCCGGAUUUAUUGGGCGUAAAGAGCUCGUAGGCGGCCUGUUGCGUCCGCUGUGAAAGCCCGGGGCUUAACCCCGGGUCUGCAGUGGAUACGGGCAGGCUAGAGGUAGGUAGGGGAGAAUGGAAUUCCCGGUGUAGCGGUGAAAUGCGCAGAUAUCGGGAGGAACACCGGUGGCGAAGGCGGUUCUCUGGGCCUUACCUGACGCUGAGGAGCGAAAGCGUGGGGAGCGAACAGG